This is a long non-coding RNA of Leopardus geoffroyi (Geoffroy's cat), 127 nucleotides long. RefSeq lists it as uncharacterized. The transcript is spliced from 3 exons. The record is from RefSeq and is a predicted model, not a curated record. Lineage: Eukaryota; Metazoa; Chordata; Mammalia; Carnivora; Felidae.
GUACAUUUUAUGUCCCAGUCCCUCCCCAAAUUAAGAAUGAGACCUAGGUUAAAAGUCUGAGAGACUGUGGCAGUAGAGGUGAUAUUUUACUUCUACCAGUAGUGAACGGAUCGGAAGAGCACAGGUC